GUGCUCACUUCAGCAGCACAUAUACUAAAAUUGGAACGACAUAGAGAAGAUUAGUAUGGCCCCUGCGCAAGGAUGACACAAAAGUUCAUGAAGCGUUCCAUAUUUUU
RNAcentral lists this small nuclear RNA (107 nucleotides) under Cebus imitator (Panamanian white-faced capuchin). The record is from RNAcentral. Lineage: Eukaryota; Metazoa; Chordata; Mammalia; Primates; Cebidae.